UGGGGAAUAUUGGACAAUGGGCGAAAGCCUGAUCCAGCAAUGCCGCGUGAGUGAUGAAGGCCUUAGGGUUGUAAAGCUCUUUUAGCAGGGAAGAUAAUGACGGUACCUGCAGAAAAAGCCCCGGCUAACUUCGUGCCAGCAGCCGCGGUAAGACGAAGGGGGCUAGCGUUGUUCGGAAUUACUGGGCGUAAAGAGCGUGUAGGCGGUUUGAUAAGUUGGGAGUGAAAUCCCGGGGCUUAACCCCGGAAUUGCUUCCAAAACUGUCAAGCUAGAGUUUGGUAGGGGGUGAUAGAAUUCCUAGUGUAGAGGUGAAAUUCUUAGAUAUUAGGAGGAAUACCGGUGGCGAAGGCGAUCACCUGGGCCAUAACUGACGCUGAGACGCGAAAGCGUGGGGAGCAAA
This 400-nucleotide ribosomal RNA is filed under the name uncultured bacterium. RNAcentral's name for it is "bacterial SSU rRNA". It matches the Rfam family "Bacterial small subunit ribosomal RNA", at positions 355 to 772 of the family's 1533-position model. The record is from RNAcentral.